CAGGAGUGCCAACACCUCCAUACAAUAACCAACCCAUCACAAAGAAUUUUCCAAAGGAGUUUGACACUCACAUUUUUCUUUUAGCACUCGCUGUUGCAUUUCUGACUACAGUGUUGCAGGCCCUUCACCAUCUUCACAGCCCUCCUUUGGAUUCUCUCAAACAGCUUUAGAUCUUUCUUAUAUUGGGGUGCCCAAAGCUGAACACAGGACUCAAGCAGUUACUAGACAUAGUCCACUGACCUACUGAACCUGCUGGCAGACCAGCCAUCACUGACUUGAAGCAUAAACUCAUUCAGAAUGGGUAUCAGCUCCAGAACAGAGGUGGGGUAUAUCUCUCAAAGCCAUAACUGCUCAAAACAAGUGCCUCACUUCAUAAAGCCUUCCCCAGGAAAACGUCUGGGAAAGUCAUCUGUUGUUCUCUGUGGCCAGAGCUGCUGCCACAGCUUCCCAGAGCCUAUGCUCUUUGAUCUGCCAAGACUUCCCCAGGAGACAAGGACAUCAGCACACACUUGCUCCCCCCAUUCCAAAAGAUCAUCUCAAGAGCUAAAUUUCAUUCAGAGAAAAUGGUUUCCUUCUGACAUCUCAGAAAAAUCAUCUGUAUAAGAACUGUAUGUGCUUGCACACAGAGGAGGGAAAACAACAACCCAUAUGGUACUGUAAACCAAAACUUAAAGCAGGAUGGCAAACACCAUCCAAGCAGAGGACUCGGAAGAGGCUCUUCUGGAAGAGAACCAUCACAUGCAGCUGAACCCCAUGUCUGGCAUUGCAGCCUCAAGGAUGAGUGAAGGAGGGGGCAGAGACCAACAAGCAGAGGUGGGGGGCACAGUAGUGAUGGUGUAGGGGACACAUCAGGCACAAGACCAAACAUGAGUCUGUAAGACUUUCCACCAUCAAAGCCAAUGGGGGCACUUAGGAAGCAUCACCUUAUCUAGGGAUAAUCAUUACCAGCAAAGCAUGUAAUUUUAAUUCACCUUUCUUAUCGCCUCCCAUCAUUAACUGGGAAGAGAGAGAAAUCCACACAGAGACAUGGGUGUGUCUGCUAAGCCAGCAUUAAUAAAGUAUUUGCUGUAUGUGUACCUUCAAGAACAACUGGGCUACAUAUUUCAAACAGUUUCAGGCAACCAAACCCAUUUCCUAACUCACAAUUAGUUCUGCAGAUAACUCCAACUAUUACAUGUGUCAGUGGCAGGAAGAUGUUAGGGAUUUAUGUACUAUAUGGAUCUAGCAAUCUACAUGCAGAAAAACAAACAAAUUUAAAAAAAA
Long non-coding RNA from Passer domesticus (house sparrow), 1263 nucleotides. RefSeq lists it as uncharacterized. The transcript has 4 exons. The record is from RefSeq and is a predicted model, not a curated record. Lineage: Eukaryota; Metazoa; Chordata; Aves; Passeriformes; Passeridae.